RNAcentral lists this ribosomal RNA (254 nucleotides) under uncultured bacterium. RNAcentral's name for it is "partial 16S ribosomal RNA". It matches the Rfam family "Bacterial small subunit ribosomal RNA", at positions 524 to 776 of the family's 1533-position model. The record is from RNAcentral.
UACGUAGGGUGCAAGCGUUAAUCGGAAUUACUGGGCGUAAAGCGUGCGCAGGCGGUUUUGUAAGUCUGUCGUGAAAUCCCCGGGCUCAACCUGGGAAUUGCGAUGGAGACUGCAAGGCUAGAAUCUGGCAGAGGGGGGUAGAAUUCCACGUGUAGCAGUGAAAUGCGUAGAGAUGUGGAGGAACACCGAUGGCGAAGGCAGCCCCCCUGGGUCAAGAUUGACGCUCAUGCACGAAAGCGUGGGGAGCAAACAGG